Molecule: ribosomal RNA, 260 nt
Filed under: uncultured bacterium
Lineage: Bacteria
Description: partial 16S ribosomal RNA
Rfam family: Bacterial small subunit ribosomal RNA
Source: RNAcentral
AGAGAGAAGCAAUACCGCGAGGUGGAGCAAAACUUACAAAAAUGGUCUCAGUUCGGACUGUAGGCUGCAACUCGCCUACACGAAGUUGGAAUUGCUAGUAAUCGUGGAUCAGCAUGCCACGGUGAAUACGUUCCCGGGUCUUGUACACACCGCCCGUCACACCAUGGGAGCUGGUAACACCCGAAGUCAGUAGUCUAACCGCAAGGAGGACGCUGCCGAAGGUGGGAUUAGCGACUGGGGUGAAGUCGUAACAAGGUAAC